Molecule: ribosomal RNA, 380 nt
Filed under: uncultured eukaryote
Lineage: Eukaryota
Description: partial 18S ribosomal RNA
Rfam family: Eukaryotic small subunit ribosomal RNA
Source: RNAcentral
CAAUAGCGUAUAUUAAAGUUGUUGCGGUUAAAAAGCUCGUAGUUGGAUUUCUGCCGAGGACGACCGGUCCGCCCUCCGGGUGAGUAUCUGGCUCGGCCUGGGCAUCUUCUUGGAGAACGUAGCUGCACUUGGCUGUGUGGUGCGGUAUUCAGGACUUUUACUUUGAGGAAAUUAGAGUGUUUCAAGCAGGCACACGCCUUGAAUACAUUAGCAUGGAAUAAUAAGAUAGGACCUCGGUUCUAUUUUGUUGGUUUCUAGAUCUGAGGUAAUGAUUAAUAGGGAUAGUUGGGGGCAUUCGUAUUUAACUGUCAGAGGUGAAAUUCUUGGAUUUGUUAAAGACAGACUACUGCGAAAGCAUUUGCCAAGGAUGUUUUCAUUGA